Molecule: non-coding RNA, 677 nt
Organism: Nylanderia fulva
Lineage: Eukaryota; Metazoa; Arthropoda; Insecta; Hymenoptera; Formicidae
Source: RefSeq, a predicted model, not a curated record
UGGUAAUAUAUUUAUUUAUAUAUUGUAUCAGACUACAUCAGGCAUAGUGCUACAUUAUAAUUAUAUUAAUUAUUGGAUGUUAUUGAAUGAUUUAUAAAAGUCACUCACGCAUCACAAGAAAAGUUUGAAAACUUAAGAAAUAAUAACAACUACUAUACAAAAUAAAAAUGUUUUAUGUUGUUCAUGUUGACAAUUGGUUUCAAUCUAUCCCAGAAAACUGAGUAGAUAAAGAAAAAAAAUUGUCUACUGGCCUACUGAAAAAAAUUCCAUAAUUACAACAUGGAUAAAGAAACAAAUAUCAUGUAAAUCAGAGUGGACAAAAUACGAUUAUGCUUGUUUGUUUGAGCCAUUUGAAAAUUAUCAGGAGUGCAAAAAUUUUGAAAGCCAGUGCACAGGGUAUUCUUCCCAAGACGAAGUAUUAUACGACAAUUUAAAAAAAAAUAAUGAGUUGUCCCAAAAGCGAUCUCGAAAAAAAAAUCCAAAAUUUGAUGAAACUGAAAAUGAAGAAAUCUCUUCAGAAUUUGAAGAUGACAAUGAUAGUGAUGAUUUGGAUUUGGAAAAUCCAGCAGAAGAAUUGCCUGUACACAAUACUAAACCGAUUAUCAUUUCACUUGAUACCAGGAAUAAUCUAGUUGAUGACGUUAAUGAAAAUGACAUAAACAUUUCCAACAUUUGUG